CCUACGGGUGGCAGCAGUGGGGAAUAUUGCGCAAUGGGCGAAAGCCUGACGCAGCGACGCCGCGUGAGGGAUGAAGGUCUUCGGAUCGUAAACCUCUGUCAGCAGGGAAGAACGGUCACUGUGCUAAUCAGCAGUGAAUUGACGGUACCUGCAAAGGAAGCACCGGCUAACUCCGUGCCAGCAGCCGCGGUAAUACGGAGGGUGCGAGCGUUAAUCGGAAUUACUUGGCGUAAAGCGCUCGUAGGCGGUAUGUCAAUUCACGGGGGACAUCCCCGCGCUCCACGUGGGAACUGCCUUUGAAACUGGCAAACUUGAGUGUGUGAGCGGAGAGUGGAAUUCCAGGUGUAGGAGUGAAAUCCGUAGAUAUCUGGAGGAACAUCAGUGGCGAAGGCGACUAUCUGGCACAUAACUGACGCUGUGGCGCGAAAGCGUGGGUAGCAAACAGGAUUAGAUACCCCGGUAGUC
RNAcentral lists this ribosomal RNA (465 nucleotides) under uncultured bacterium. RNAcentral's name for it is "partial 16S ribosomal RNA". It matches the Rfam family "Bacterial small subunit ribosomal RNA", at positions 338 to 795 of the family's 1533-position model. The record is from RNAcentral.